Molecule: ribosomal RNA, 253 nt
Filed under: uncultured bacterium
Lineage: Bacteria
Description: partial 16S ribosomal RNA
Rfam family: Bacterial small subunit ribosomal RNA
Source: RNAcentral
UACGGAGGGUGCGAGCGUUAAUCGGACUUACUGGGCGUAAAGGGUCCGUAGGCGGAUAAAUAAGUCAGAUGUAAAAGUCCAGGGCUCAACCUUGGGAUGUCAUUUGAAACUGUGUAUCUAGAGUAUAGGAGAGGAAAGGGGAAUUUCUGGUGUAGCGGUGAAAUGCGUAGAUAUCAGAAGGAACACCAAUGGCGAAGGCAACUUUCUGGCCAAAUACUGACGCUGAGGGACGAAAGCAUGGUUAGCGAACAGG